RNAcentral lists this transfer RNA (67 nucleotides) under Camelops cf. hesternus PDH-2015. Its description in RNAcentral is "tRNA-Asp". RNAcentral also lists the same sequence under 1 other name. Lineage: Eukaryota; Metazoa; Chordata; Mammalia; Artiodactyla; Camelidae. The record is from RNAcentral.
GAGAUAUUAGUAAAAUUUACAUGGUCUUGUCAAGGCCAAAUUACAGGUGAAAACCCCGUAUAUCUCU